GACGAACGCUGGCGGCGUGCUUAACACAUGCAAGUCGAACGGUGAAGCGCCUUCCUUUUUGGUGGGUGUGGAUGAGUGGCGAACGGGUGCGUAACACGUGAGUAUCCUGCCCCCUUCUUCUUGAUAACCCCAUGAAAGUGUUGCUAAUCCGGGAUAUUCUGGGUCUGUCUCAUGAUGGGUCUGGUUAAGUUGUUGUUUCGGUGGGGGCUGGGCUCGCGGCCUAUCAGGUUGUGGGUGGGGUGGUUGCAUACCAAGGCUGGGACGGGUAGCCGGCCUGAGAGGGUGGACGGGCAGAGUGGGAAGGAGACACGGCCAAGACUGAUAUGGGAGGCAGCAGUGGGGAAUACGGGAGAAAGGGGGGGAGCAUGAUGCAGCGACGGCGAGUGAGUGAUGGAGGCCUGCGGGUUGAGAACUUAUGGCGUUAGGGAAGCAGGGCUGCCUCGUUUGUGGGGGGAUUGACGGUACCGGGAGAAGAAGCGCCGGCUAACUACGUG
Molecule: ribosomal RNA, 494 nt
Filed under: uncultured bacterium
Lineage: Bacteria
Description: partial 16S ribosomal RNA
Rfam family: Bacterial small subunit ribosomal RNA
Source: RNAcentral